Triticum aestivum (bread wheat) is the source of this 135-nucleotide non-coding RNA. Lineage: Eukaryota; Viridiplantae; Streptophyta; Magnoliopsida; Poales; Poaceae. The record is from Rfam.
UUUGUACUCCAUCCAUCCCAAAAUUGUUGUCUAAAAUUUGUCUAAAUACGGAUGUAUCUAGUUACAUUUUAGUGUUAGAUACAUCCGUACCUAAACAAAUGUAAGACAAGAAUUUUGGGAUGGAGGGAAUACUAC